Molecule: non-coding RNA, 1089 nt
Organism: Chrysemys picta bellii (western painted turtle)
Lineage: Eukaryota; Metazoa; Chordata; Testudines; Emydidae
Source: RefSeq, a predicted model, not a curated record
UGACACUUGGAUUGAUUACUUUGUCCUUUGCAAAAUGCAGGGGAUGUGGUUGCUGAGUCUAUAAAGGUCUGCCCCCAUGUCUUUGUUAUUUAGUGGGGCGUCUUCUUGUUCCGCUGCAUGAGUAUGUUCUUCAUGAAUGAGAUUGACUGUGUGUGUCAUUUCAGCCAGUAGACCCUCACGGGACAGCAGAGAAAGCCGUUGGAAUGUUUCACUAGCCAGACCACAUACAAUAGGUACCCUGCAGCUAACAAGAGGAGCCUCUUCCAACGACUAAAGGAAGUUCAUGACCGCUUAGUCGCCAACAUUUUAAAUUGCAACUGUAAUUUAUGGGAGAUUUCCCUUUCCUGUCAUCUAUGCUACAACGGAGGUACCAAAUGACAGGGCUCAUGAAAGCCAGAAAACUGGCAGCAAAGAGUCCCCAACUCAGAGGAAGAAAAUGUAGUUGCUGUGUGUACUGCCCUCCUAAUGACCUCAACCUCUGACAGGAAUCAGUGAGGGAGAAAGAUAUUUCAGUGCCCAAGCAGGCUCAGACAGCAAGGUCACAGAUUGCAAUGUAACAGAAUAUCAGGGAUACAUGAGCCCAGGAUUUCCCAUCGUUUCAAAGGCUUGUCAGCACCAAGAGACAAUCUACAUUUAACACUUAGAAUGCUACAAUUUCCAGAUUGCCAGCCAGAAAGAGAUUUAUGUCUGCAACUUCCAGAAGCCUAAAUUACAGUAAAUUGCUUUAACUAAUACACAGGCUUUACGGUUGGUUUGUCUUGACACCUUUCCGAAGAUCUCACAUCAGGAAUAACUAAGGGAUUCCGUCUCGGAUUUCUUUCUAUUUUCUCUGACUUGCUCUUUUUGGGCUCAGUCCUGCAAGGUUCUGAGAGCUCUGGCCUCAAUCCAACAAGGCGCAUAAGCACGUGGUUACUUUAAGAACAUGAAUAAUCCCACUGAUUUUACUGGAUUGGGGACAGAAUGCUCAGCAUUUUACAGGAUAGAGCCCAUUAUUUUUAUUUGUAUAGUGGCAACAUAAGAACAUAAGAACGGCCAUACUGGGUCAGAACAAAGGUCCAUGUAGCCCAGUAUCCUGUCUGCUGACAGUGG